GCUCCCGUAGCUCAGUUGGAUAGAGCGAGCGCCUCCUAAGCGCUAGGCCGCAGGUUCGAUUCCUGCCGGGAGCA
This 74-nucleotide transfer RNA is filed under the name Pseudomonadota bacterium. Its description in RNAcentral is "tRNA-Arg". It matches the Rfam family "tRNA". From Rfam's summary of the family: Transfer RNA (tRNA) molecules are approximately 80 nucleotides in length. Their secondary structure includes four short double-helical elements and three loops (D, anti-codon, and T loops). Further hydrogen bonds mediate the characteristic L-shaped molecular structure. tRNAs have two regions of fundamental functional importance: the anti-codon, which is responsible for specific mRNA codon recognition, and the 3' end, to which the tRNAs corresponding amino acid is attached (by aminoacyl-tRNA synthetases). tRNAs cope with the degeneracy of the genetic code in two manners: having more than one tRNA (with a specific anti-codon) for a particular amino acid; and 'wobble' base-pairing, i.e. permitting non-standard base-pairing at the 3rd anti-codon position. Lineage: Bacteria; Pseudomonadati; Pseudomonadota. The record is from RNAcentral. RNAcentral also lists the same sequence under 3 other names.